AUUGUUCUAUCCCUGGCCCCAGGGCCUCAUGUAGGACAGCUCCAUAGCAACUCUUUGAAAACCAAGUCUGGGAGUUGUGCCCAGUUCUGGGGCCUCUGGGCCUCUCUCUGUCCCUGGACUGAGCUGUUAGCAAGCCUGAUUCCUGAUGUACCUCCCAUAGGAAACGAUGACUGGCUGGGCUGCUGGGGUCACCACAUGAAGUCUCCUAGUUUCCGAUCUAUUCGAGAGCAUCAGAAGCUAAACCAUUUCCCAGGCUCAUUCCAGAUUGGGAGGAAGGACCGGCUAUGGCGGAACCUGUCACGCAUGCAGAGCCGCUUUGGCAAGAAGGAGUUCAGUUUCUUCCCCCAGUCCUUUAUCCUGCCCCAGGACGCCAAGCUCCUGCGCAAAGCGUGGGAGAGCAGCAGCCGCCAAAAGUGGAUUGUGAAGCCACCAGCAUCAGCUCGAGGCAUUGGCAUCCAGGUUAUUCACAAGUGGAGUCAGCUCCCCAAGCGAAGGCCCCUCCUGGUACAGAGGUAUCUACACAAACCCUACCUCAUCAGCGGCAGCAAAUUUGAUCUGCGGAUCUAUGUUUACGUCACUUCCUAUGAUCCUCUGCGGAUUUACCUCUUUUCAGAUGGACUGGUCCGCUUUGCCAGUUGCAAGUAUUCUCCUUCCAUGAAGAGCCUUGGCAAUAAGUUCAUGCAUCUGACCAACUACAGUGUCAAUAAAAAGAAUGCCGAGUACCAGGCCAAUGCAGAUGAAAUGGCUUGCCAGGGCCACAAAUGGGCACUGAAGGCUUUGUGGAACUACCUGAGCCAGAAGGGAGUCAAUAGUGAUGCCAUCUGGGAGAAGAUAAAGGAUGUUGUUGUCAAAACCAUCAUCUCGUCAGAGCCCUAUGUGACCAGCCUGCUCAAGAUGUAUGUGCGGCGGCCCUAUAGCUGCCAUGAACUCUUUGGUUUUGACAUCAUGCUAGACGAAAACCUCAAGCCCUGGG
RNAcentral lists this small RNA (973 nucleotides) under Pongo abelii (Sumatran orangutan). RNAcentral describes it as "retained intron". Lineage: Eukaryota; Metazoa; Chordata; Mammalia; Primates; Hominidae. The record is from RNAcentral.